RNAcentral lists this ribosomal RNA (451 nucleotides) under Leptotrichia sp. oral taxon 463. RNAcentral describes it as "bacterial SSU rRNA". It matches the Rfam family "Bacterial small subunit ribosomal RNA", at positions 28 to 496 of the family's 1533-position model. The record is from RNAcentral. Lineage: Bacteria; Fusobacteriati; Fusobacteriota; Fusobacteriia; Fusobacteriales; Leptotrichiaceae.
GAUGAACGCUGACAGAAUGCUUAACACAUGCAAGUCUUUGGCAAAUCUGUGCUUGCACAGCAUAGCCAAGGCGGACGGGUGAGUAACGCGUAAAGAACUUGCCCUGCAGUCUGGGAUAACAGACGGAAACGACUGAUAAAACCUGAUAUAAUCAAGCCCACGCAUGUGGUGCUUGAUGAGAAGAAAUGCUGCAGGAGAGCUUUGCGUCCUAUUAGCUUGUUGGUGGGGUAAUGGCCCACCAAGGCAAUGAUAGGUAGCCGGCCUGAGAGGGUGACCGGCCACAAGGGGACUGAGAUACGGCCCUUACUCCUACGGGAGGCAGCAGUGGGGAAUAUUGGACAAUGGGGGCAACCCUGAUCCAGCAAUUCUGUGUGCACGAAGAAGGUUUUCGGAUUGUAAAGUGCUUUCAGCAGGGAAGAAGAAAAUGACUGACCUGCAGAAGAGCGCGCAA